AGAGUUUUGAUCCCUGGCUCAGGAUGAACGCUGGCGGCGUGCCUAACACAUGCAAGUCGAGCGAAGCACUUUGUUUGAACUUUUCGGAGGGGACGAGGAAGUGACUGAGCGGCGGACGGGUGAGUAACGCGUGGGCAACCUGCCUUACACAGGGGGAUAACAGUUAGAAAUGACUGCUAAUACCGCAUAAGACCACAUUGCCGCAUGGCAGGUGGUAAAAACUCCGGUGGUGUAAGAUGGGCCCGCGUCUGAUUAGGUAGUUGGCAGGGUAGAGGCCUACCAAGCCUACGAUCAGUAGCCGGCCUGAGAGGGUGGACGGCCACAUUGGGGCUGAGACACGGCCCAAACUCCUACGGGAGGCAGCAGUGGGGAAUAUUGCACAAUGGGGGAAACCCUGAUGCAGCGACGCCGCGUGAGUGAGGAAGUAUUUCGGUAUGUAAAGCUCUAUCAGCAGGGAAGAAAAUGACGGUACCUGACUAAGAAGCCCCGGCUAACUACGUG
RNAcentral lists this ribosomal RNA (501 nucleotides) under uncultured Lachnospiraceae bacterium. Its description in RNAcentral is "bacterial SSU rRNA". It matches the Rfam family "Bacterial small subunit ribosomal RNA", at positions 8 to 507 of the family's 1533-position model. Lineage: Bacteria; Bacillati; Bacillota; Clostridia; Lachnospirales; Lachnospiraceae. The record is from RNAcentral.